AAAGUUCUGGAAAUGUAUAGUGGCGAUAGUUACACAACAUUGUGAAUGGACUUAAUGUCAUUGAAUUGUACCCUUAAAUGGUUAGAAUGGCUGGGGCACCUGGGUGGCU
Molecule: long non-coding RNA, 109 nt
Organism: Lynx canadensis (Canada lynx)
Lineage: Eukaryota; Metazoa; Chordata; Mammalia; Carnivora; Felidae
Exons: 3
Source: RefSeq, a predicted model, not a curated record